CCAUGAUCCUGCUCAGUGCAGCAUUCCUUGUAGGCGACUCGCUGAGCCCCUCAAUACCACUGUACAGGGAAUGGGAAAUCCUCCGUUCCCUGUCAUCCAGCAGUGUUUCGAUGGGCAGCUCUGGACCAGAGGGGCUCCCAGGUGACUCCAGCUCAUUGCAUUUACUUAUUCGCCUUGCCACAAUAAGCUGAAUCAUUCCUCGUUUGUUUCCUUCAGUGGACAUGGAUCUUCUUAAAGUUUCCAUAGCAUCUUGAUUUGUUUUGCCCAGUAAUGAUUCUCCAUUUACCGCUAUUAGUUGAUCGUUCACUCGAAGCCUGCCAUCCUUGGAUGCUGCUCCACCGUUAAUGAUGGACUUGACAAAGAUUCCUAAAUCGGCAUGAUUUUCUUUUGACCGAUUCCCUUUGACACUCACACCAAGUCCAGCUGAUCCUGAGUCAUUAAGUGGAACUUCAAAUGUCAGGAAUUCCCUGGUGCCAUCAGGUGUGAGAACAAGCUCUUCUUCUUCUGCUUUCGUUUCCUUUGGAAUUUGUGACUGGCUUUGUUCUGCAUUCAGUUCCCUUGGAUGGAAUGUUUCU
This 575-nucleotide long non-coding RNA is filed under the name Gallus gallus (chicken). The record is from RNAcentral. Lineage: Eukaryota; Metazoa; Chordata; Aves; Galliformes; Phasianidae.